AAUAAUAGUUAAAGUCUUUAAACUUAAAAAAAUUGGCGGUAUUUAAAACUAAUUAGGGGAAUUUGUUUAUUAAAUGAUAAUCCGCAAGAAACCUUACUUUAAUUAAUUUAAUUUAUUUAUUGCCGUUAUCAGAUUAUUUUUUUAGAAAUUAAAUUUUCUAGAAUUUUUAUAAAAAAUUAUUUCAGGUCAUUAUGUAGUUUAUAUUAAAGUUUAGAUGAAUUACAAUAAAUUAUAUUUAUAUGAAUAUUAAAUUGAAAUAUUUAAUUGAAAGUGGACUUAAUAGUAAAAAAUUUAAAUAUUAUAUUAUUUUGAAUUAAGAAUUAAAU
This 326-nucleotide ribosomal RNA is filed under the name Thrinax japonica. RNAcentral's name for it is "partial 12S ribosomal RNA". Lineage: Eukaryota; Metazoa; Arthropoda; Insecta; Hymenoptera; Tenthredinidae. The record is from RNAcentral.